UACGGGGUGGUGUAUUGAGCACGUGGGUUUUUGGAGCCUGAAGGGAAAGAGUAAGAGCUUUUCCUCGUAU
RNAcentral lists this transfer RNA (70 nucleotides) under Mizuhopecten yessoensis (Yesso scallop). RNAcentral describes it as "tRNA-Gln". Lineage: Eukaryota; Metazoa; Mollusca; Bivalvia; Pectinida; Pectinidae. The record is from RNAcentral.